CUUUCUGAUGGGGGUCCUCAACGUCUUUUUUACUCUCACGACAGACUCCAUGAUGCACCGGAGCUCUCAGGACAGGAGUGAAUGAACACACUGCUACUUCUUGGACAGAUGAUAGGUGGUAACAGUUGGCCAAAGGCUCACAGCAUAAAAUCCUUAUAAAGCUCCAGCCACAUGGCCUCCACCGCAACAAGACAAUCCCCAAAAGCUCUACAACAAAUCAGAGGGAGCAAGAAGAAACAACAACAGAAGACUCCCCAAAUUUUUCCUGUGCUCCUUGACGCUCACAGGAGUGAAUAACUAUGUGUAUGUCCAGGUUUAGCCUUUGCCUCUUCUGCUUCCCUCCUCAAGACUCACUCUACUUUUCAACACCCCCCCCCCCCCCCCCCCCCCCCCCCCCCCCCUCUAUACGGAUUACCACUUAGAGGAAUUGAUGAGGGGAAUCUUGUUAGCUGUGGCAGAUGGAUACAAGAGAUAUGGCAUGCUGUUUAGCCAUGCUGCUAAUAGCCUCAUAGGCCAAAUGUGGUCCUGCAGCAAAGCAACCUGCUGCAGUGCUAGAUC
This is a long non-coding RNA of Etheostoma cragini (Arkansas darter), 558 nucleotides long. RefSeq lists it as uncharacterized. Lineage: Eukaryota; Metazoa; Chordata; Actinopteri; Perciformes; Percidae. The record is from RefSeq and is a predicted model, not a curated record. The transcript is spliced from 3 exons.